Molecule: ribosomal RNA, 360 nt
Filed under: uncultured bacterium
Lineage: Bacteria
Description: bacterial SSU rRNA
Rfam family: Bacterial small subunit ribosomal RNA
Source: RNAcentral
CCUACGGGAUGCAGCAGUGGGGAAUAUUGCACAAUGGGGGAAACCCUGAUGCAGCCAUGCCGCGUGUGUGAAGAAGGCCUUCGGGUUGUAAAGCACUUUCAGUAGGGAGGAAGGUAGUGUAGUUAACACCUGCAUUAUUUGACGUUACCUACAGAAGAAGCACCGGCUAACUCCGUGCCAGCAGCCGCGGUAAUACGGAGGGUGCGAGCGUUAAUCGGAAUUACUGGGCGUAAAGCGCAUGCAGGCGGCCUGUUAAGUCAGAUGUGAAAGCCCGGGGCUUAACCUCGGAAUUGCAUUUGAAACUGGCAGGCUAGAGUCUUGUAGAGGGGGGUAGAAUUUCAGGUGUAGCGGUGAAAUGCG